RNAcentral lists this ribosomal RNA (197 nucleotides) under uncultured bacterium. RNAcentral's name for it is "partial 16S ribosomal RNA". It matches the Rfam family "Bacterial small subunit ribosomal RNA", at positions 335 to 524 of the family's 1533-position model. The record is from RNAcentral.
ACUCCUACGGGAGGCAGCAGCUAAGAAUAUUCCGCAAUGGAGGAAACUCUGACGGAGCGACGCCGCGUGGAUGAUGAAGGUCGGAAGAUUGUAAAAUCCUUUUAAGUAUGAUGAAUAACCUGAUCAGGAAAUGGGACAGGGAUGACCGUAAUACUUGAAUAAGCAACGGCUAAUUACGUGCCAGCAGCCGCGGUAAU